UAGAGUUUGAUCAUGGCUCAGAUUGAACGCUGGCGGCAGGCCUAACACAUGCAAGUCGAGCGGUAGAGAGAAGCUUGCUUCUCUUGAGAGCGGCGGACGGGUGAGUAAUGCCUAGGAAUCUGCCUGGUAGUGGGGGAUAACGUUCGGAAACGGACGCUAAUACCGCAUACGUCCUACGGGAGAAAGCAGGGGACCUUCGGGCCUUGCGCUAUCAGAUGAGCCUAGGUCGGAUUAGCUAGUUGGUGAGGUAAUGGCUCACCAAGGCGACGAUCCGUAACUGGUCUGAGAGGAUGAUCAGUCACACUGGAACUGAGACACGGUCCAGACUCCUACGGGAGGCAGCAGUGGGGAAUAUUGGACAAUGGGCGAAAGCCUGAUCCAGCCAUGCCGCGUGUGUGAAGAAGGUCUUCGGAUUGUAAAGCACUUUAAGUUGGGAGGAAGGGCAGUUACCUAAUACGUGAAUUGUUUUGACGUACCGACAG
This 482-nucleotide ribosomal RNA is filed under the name Pseudomonas sp. 01WB04.1-70. RNAcentral describes it as "bacterial SSU rRNA". It matches the Rfam family "Bacterial small subunit ribosomal RNA", at positions 1 to 484 of the family's 1533-position model. The record is from RNAcentral. Lineage: Bacteria; Pseudomonadati; Pseudomonadota; Gammaproteobacteria; Pseudomonadales; Pseudomonadaceae.